GGGAAUGUGGCUUAGUGGUAGAGUGCUUGCCUCCCAUGCAUGAAGGCCUGGGUUCCAUUUCUCAGUACCA
Molecule: transfer RNA, 70 nt
Filed under: Dipodomys ordii (Ord's kangaroo rat)
Lineage: Eukaryota; Metazoa; Chordata; Mammalia; Rodentia; Heteromyidae
Rfam family: tRNA
About the family: Transfer RNA (tRNA) molecules are approximately 80 nucleotides in length. Their secondary structure includes four short double-helical elements and three loops (D, anti-codon, and T loops).
Source: Rfam by way of RNAcentral